RNAcentral lists this long non-coding RNA (208 nucleotides) under Mytilus galloprovincialis (Mediterranean mussel). The record is from RNAcentral. Lineage: Eukaryota; Metazoa; Mollusca; Bivalvia; Mytilida; Mytilidae.
GUGGAUUCAUUUAUUUUCGUGGGUACCAAUUUUCGUGGAUUAGGGAAAAUUUCCAUGUUCCUGGAUAUUUAAUUUCGUGGUUUUGCCGAAGUCUGCAUAUAAGCCUAUAGAAAAAUUUGUUUAGUUGAACAUUUAAUUUCGUGGUUCACAUUCACCCACUAAAGCCACGAAAAUUGGUAUCCAACGAAUAAUAACGAAUCCACAGUAU